RNAcentral lists this ribosomal RNA (490 nucleotides) under uncultured bacterium. RNAcentral's name for it is "bacterial SSU rRNA". It matches the Rfam family "Bacterial small subunit ribosomal RNA", at positions 8 to 507 of the family's 1533-position model. The record is from RNAcentral.
AGAGUUUGAUCCUGGCUCAGAUUGAACGCUGGCGGUAUGCCUAACACAUGCAAGUCGAACGAGGUAGCAAUACCUAGUGGCGGACGGGUGAGGAAUACGUAGGGAUCUGCCUUUAAGUGGGGGAUAACCGGGAAACCCGGAUUAAUACCGCAUGAUCUCGCAAGAGCAAAGAGGGGGACCGCAAGGCCUCUCGCUUUUAGAGGAACCUACGUCGGAUUAGCUAGUUGGUGAGGUAAUGGCUCACCAAGGCGACGAUCCGUAACUGGUCUGAGAGGAUGAUCAGUCACACCGGAACUGAGACACGGUCCGGACUCCUACGGGAGGCAGCAGUGGGGGAAUAUUGGACAAUGGGCGAAAGCCUGAUCCAGCAAUACCGCGUGUGUGAAGAAGGCCUUCGGGUUGUAAAGCACUUUAAGUUGGGAAGAAAAAGCUUCACCUAAUACGUGGAGCCUUGACGGUACCGACAGAAUAAGCACCGGCUAACUCUGUG